RNAcentral lists this ribosomal RNA (492 nucleotides) under uncultured bacterium. RNAcentral describes it as "partial 16S ribosomal RNA". It matches the Rfam family "Bacterial small subunit ribosomal RNA", at positions 29 to 507 of the family's 1533-position model. The record is from RNAcentral.
AGUGAACGCUGGCGGUAGGCCUAACACAUGCAAGUCGAACGGCAGCACAGUAAGAGCUUGCUCUUACGGGUGGCGAGUGGCGGACGGGUGAGGAAUACAUCGGAAUCUACUUUUUCGUGGGGGAUAACGUAGGGAAACUUACGCUAAUACCGCAUACGACCUACGGGUGAAAGCAGGGGAUCUUCGGACCUUGCGCGAUUGAAUGAGCCGAUGUCGGAUUAGCUAGUUGGCGGGGUAAAGGCCCACCAGGGCGACGAUCCGUAGCUGGUCUGAGAGGAUGAUCAGCCACACUGGAACUGAGACACGGUCCAGACUCCUACGGGAGGCAGCAGUGGGGAAUAUUGGACAAUAGGCGCAAGCCUGAUCCAGCCAUACCGCGUGGGUGAAGAAGGCCUUCGGGUUGUAAAGCCCUUUUGUUGGGAAAGAAAAGCAGCAGGUUAAUACCCCGCUGUUCUGACGGUACCCAAAGAAUAAGCACCGGCUAACUUCGUG